CCUACGGGAGGCAGCAGUGGGGAAUAUUGCACAAUGGGGGAAACCCUGAUGCAGCGACGCCGCGUGAGUGAAGAAGUAUUUCGGUAUGUAAAGCUCUAUCAGCAGAGAAGAAGAAAGACGGUACCUGACUAAGAAGCCCCGGCUAACUACGUGCCAGCAGCCGCGGUAAUACGGAGGGGGCAAGCGUUAUCCGGAUGUACUGGGGGUAACGGGAGCGUAGACGGCUGUGCAAGUCUGAAGUGAAAGCCCAGGGCUCAACCCGGGGACUGCUUUGGAAACUGUGGAGCUAGAGUGCUGGAGAGGUAAGUGGAAUUCCUAGUGUAGCGGUGAAAUGCGUAGAUAUUAGGAGGAACACCAGUGGCGAAGGCGGCUUACUGGACAGUAACUGACGUUGAGGCUCGAAAGCGUGGGGAGCAAACAGGAUUAGAUACCCUUGUAGUC
RNAcentral lists this ribosomal RNA (441 nucleotides) under uncultured bacterium. Its description in RNAcentral is "partial 16S ribosomal RNA". It matches the Rfam family "Bacterial small subunit ribosomal RNA", at positions 338 to 795 of the family's 1533-position model. The record is from RNAcentral.